CAUUUGAUAGUUUAUUAAAAAUAAUGAUUUUGGGAAUCAUUGAUAGUGUAACCACUUCUUUUGA
This 64-nucleotide transfer RNA is filed under the name Brachystomella parvula. Its description in RNAcentral is "tRNA-Pro". The record is from RNAcentral. Lineage: Eukaryota; Metazoa; Arthropoda; Collembola; Poduromorpha; Brachystomellidae.